UCAAGAUGCUUUUAAAGAUAUCUCUAAGCCCUAGGAUAAAGCAAACCACCGAGAUGUUCAAAGAAAUUUUCCACGAGAAACAAAUAUUUUGAUUGUUGACAAUAUUUGUACAUUCGCAGGGCGUGAAAUUGAUUUACAGAAGUGACAAAUCUCGGGGGGACUUAGAUUUGUUGCGAUGCUCCGUGGUGACUGCUCUCCCACUCCACUGGUUAUAUCCUCCUGGAUGGUUCCGCUUUAAUCAGAUAAACAGCCGUGGGCCUUGGAAAACUCGUCUUUGUGUAACACCGCCAAGAGUUUAAACCCCCGAGCCGUUCCGACUCCUCCAUCUGGGAACAAGGCUGAUCUUCAGCGCUUAACUCUGCAUCACAAGUUCAUGGCAAUUGGUUUUGCGUCUGCGUUCUUGAAGGCUGCCCUCAGAUGGAAUUGUUUGGAGUUCAUAUCCCGAGCUUUGCGAGCCCUGGCACCCUUCCUGGCUCGGCGGGUGGCGGUAACACAGCGUUGACUUGGAAACGACCCCUUUGGCGAGUGUUUGCAGGGCUUGCUAGCUUCCGUGUUUUUGGCCAGACAAUACACCACAGCCACAUUAAACACUAACGGAAAACUGCAAGAGCACCAGGACUGGCUUGAGUCGACAAAUACGUCGCUCAGUAACUGCAGUGCUGUUUGCAUGUAGGGCUACAAGAUAUAUCGAAUAUAAAAUUUAUAUCACGAUAUGGCUAAGUGUAGAUCACACUGGCUAUGAUUAAAUCAAUAUAUGACCUACCAGUUUUAAAGUGAAGCUCAAGGUUCAUUUUCUGUGAAUUGAGCUGUUCUGAGACACUGAUAUCAUGAGUGAAACCAGCAGCACAUAUUCUUAUUUGCCAGUAACACGUCAAAAUAAAAGCUUAA
Megalobrama amblycephala (Wuchang bream) is the source of this 888-nucleotide long non-coding RNA. RefSeq lists it as uncharacterized. The record is from RefSeq and is a predicted model, not a curated record. The transcript is spliced from 2 exons. Lineage: Eukaryota; Metazoa; Chordata; Actinopteri; Cypriniformes; Xenocyprididae.